Molecule: ribosomal RNA, 433 nt
Filed under: uncultured bacterium
Lineage: Bacteria
Description: partial 16S ribosomal RNA
Rfam family: Bacterial small subunit ribosomal RNA
Source: RNAcentral
AACGAACGCUGGCGGCAUGCCUAACACAUGCAAGUCGAACGAGACCUUCGGGUCUAGUGGCGCACGGGUGCGUAACGCGUGGGAACCUGCCCUUAGGUUCGGAAUAACUCCCCGAAAGGGGUGCUAAUACCGGAUAAUGUCUUCGGACCAAAGAUUUAUCGCCUUUGGAUGGGCCCGCGUUGGAUUAGCUUGUUGGUAGGGUAAAAGCCUACCAAGGGGACGAUCCAUAGCUGGUCUGAGAGGAUGAUCAGCCACACUGGGACUGAGACACGGCCCAGACUCCUACGGGAGGCAGCAGUGGGGAAUAUUGGACGAUGGGCGAAAGCCUGAUCCAGCAAUGCCGCGUGAGUGAUGAAGGCCUUAGGGUUGUAAAGCUCUUUUACCCGGGAUGAUAAUGACAGUACCGGGAGAAUAAGCUCCGGCUAACUCCGUG